Molecule: ribosomal RNA, 253 nt
Filed under: uncultured bacterium
Lineage: Bacteria
Description: partial 16S ribosomal RNA
Rfam family: Bacterial small subunit ribosomal RNA
Source: RNAcentral
UACGUAGGGGGCAAGCGUUGUCCGGAUUUAUUGGGCGUAAAGAGCGUGUAGGCGGCUAGGUAGGUCCGUUGUGAAAACUCGAGGCUUAACCUCGAGACGUCGAUGGAAACCAUCUAGCUAGAGUCCGGAAGAGGAGAGUGGAAUUCCUGGUGUAGCGGUGAAAUGCGCAGAUAUCAGGAAGAACACCCGUGGCGAAGGCGGCUCUCUGGGACGGUACUGACGCUGAGACGCGAAAGCGUGGGGAGCGAACAGG